RNAcentral lists this ribosomal RNA (572 nucleotides) under Salmonella enterica subsp. enterica serovar Muenchen. Its description in RNAcentral is "partial 23S ribosomal RNA". It matches the Rfam family "Bacterial large subunit ribosomal RNA", at positions 1 to 601 of the family's 2925-position model. Lineage: Bacteria; Pseudomonadati; Pseudomonadota; Gammaproteobacteria; Enterobacterales; Enterobacteriaceae. The record is from RNAcentral.
GGGUUGUGAGGUUAAGCGACUAAGCGUACACGGUGGAUGCCCUGGCAGUCAGAGGCGAUGAAGGACGUGCUAAUCUGCGAUAAGCGCCGGUAAGGUGAUAUGAACCGUUAUAACCGGCGAUUUCCGAAUGGGGAAACCCAGUGUGAUUCGUCACACUAUCAUUAACUGAAUCCAUAGGUUAAUGAGGCGAACCGGGGGAACUGAAACAUCUAAGUACCCCGAGGAAAAGAAAUCAACCGAGAUUCCCCCAGUAGCGGCGAGCGAACGGGGAGGAGCCCAGAGCCUGAAUCAGCAUGUGUGUUAGUGGAAGCGUCUGGAAAGGCGCGCGAUACAGGGUGACAGCCCCGUACACAAAAGCGCAUGUGCUGUGAGCUCGAUGAGUAGGGCGGGACACGUGGUAUCCUGUCUGAAUAUGGGGGGACCAUCCUCCAAGGCUAAAUACUCCUGACUGACCGAUAGUGAACCAGUACCGUGAGGGAAAGGCGAAAAGAACCCCGGCGAGGGGAGUGAAAAAGAACCUGAAACCGUGUACGUACAAGCAGUGGGAGCACAGGUUUACCUGUGUGACUGCG